ACGGGUGAGUAACACGUGAGUAACCUGCCCUUGACUCUGGGAUAAGCCUGGGAAACCGGGUCUAAUACUGGAUACGACCUUCUGGCGCAUGCCAUGUUGGUGGAAAGCUUUUGCGGUUUUGGAUGGACUCGCGGCCUAUCAGCUUGUUGGUGGGGUAAUGGCCUACCAAGGCGACGACGGGUAGCCGGCCUGAGAGGGUGACCGGCCACACUGGGACUGAGACACGGCCCAGACUCCUACGGGAGGCAGCAGUGGGGAAUAUUGCACAAUGGGCGCAAGCCUGAUGCAGCGACGCCGCGUGAGGGAUGAAGGCCUUCGGGUUGUAAACCUCUUUCAGUAGGGAAGAAGCCGGCCCUUUGGGUUGGUGACGGUACCUGCAGAAGAAGCGCCGGCUAACUACGUGCCAGCAGCCGCGGUAAUACGUAGGGCGCAAGCGUUAUCCGGAAUUAUUGGGCGUAAAGAGCUCGUAGGCGGUUUGUCGCGUCUGCCGUGAAAGUCCGGGGCUUAACUCCGGAUCUGCGGUGGGUACGGGCAGACUAGAGUGCAGUAGGGGAGACUGGAAUUCCUGGUGUAGCGGUGAAAUGCGCAGAUAUCAGGAGGAACACCGAUGGCGAAGGCAGGUCUCUGGGCUGUAACUGACGCUGAGGAGCGAAAGCAUGGGGAGCGAACAGGAUUAGAUACCCUGGUAGUCCAUGCCGUAAACGUUGGGCACUAGGUGUGGGGGACAUUCCACGUUUUCCGCGCCGUAGCUAACGCAUUAAGUGCCCCGCCUGGGGAGUACGGCCGCAAGGCUAAAACUCAAAGGAAUUGACGGGGGCCCGCACAAGCGGCGGAGCAUGCGGAUUAAUUCGAUGCAACGCGAAGAACCUUACCAAGGCUUGACAUGAACCGGAAUGAUGCAGAGAUGUGUCAGCCACUUGUGGCCGGUUUACAGGUGGUGCAUGGUUGUCGUCAGCUCGUGUCGUGAGAUGUUGGGUUAAGUCCCGCAACGAGCGCAACCCUCGUUCCAUGUUGCCAGCGGGUUAUGCCGGGGACUCAUGGGAGACUGCCGGGGUCAACUCGGAGGAAGGUGGGGACGACGUCAAAUCAUCAUGCCCCUUAUGUCUUGGGCUUCACGCAUGCUACAAUGGCCGGUACAAAGGGUUGCGAUACUGUGAGGUGGAGCUAAUCCCAAAAAGCCGGUCUCAGUUCGGAUUGAGGUCUGCAACUCGACCUCAUGAAGUUGGAGUCGCUAGUAAUCGCAGAUCAGCAACGCUGCGGUGAAUACGUUCCCGGGCCUUGUACACACCGCCCGUCAAGUCACGAAAG
RNAcentral lists this ribosomal RNA (1308 nucleotides) under Arthrobacter sp. RNAcentral describes it as "bacterial SSU rRNA". It matches the Rfam family "Bacterial small subunit ribosomal RNA", at positions 102 to 1410 of the family's 1533-position model. Lineage: Bacteria; Bacillati; Actinomycetota; Actinomycetes; Micrococcales; Micrococcaceae. The record is from RNAcentral.